AGGGAACUGAGCAAGCAAAGCAAAGCAAUGAGAUUUAUAAAACCAGGACUUCACCGUGGUGGAACAGGCCUGUAAUCCAAGAUUCCUUUGGCGAUACUCAAGACUCAAGAAUUCAUGAUGCAAGCCCACUCUACCAAUCUGUGUGGCCUCAUUCUCUGGGCUGAUCUCAUGAGGACAAGCCAUGUUGCUAUUCACACCAAACAACUGGCAAUAAGCUAAAAGCAACCAAAGAAUAAACAGCAAUGCAGGACAAUCCUGUUUCUUCAAGCCUGAAAAAUUCUAAAAUGUGCUAAGAUGCUCAAAGUCUGUUUUCAGAGAAUCUUGAUGAUAUAGUACAAGUGAUUGGUAUGUGGUAGA
This is a long non-coding RNA of Dipodomys ordii (Ord's kangaroo rat), 357 nucleotides long. RefSeq lists it as uncharacterized. The transcript is spliced from 3 exons. NCBI's taxonomy places the organism in Eukaryota, Metazoa, Chordata, Mammalia, Rodentia, Heteromyidae. The record is from RefSeq and is a predicted model, not a curated record.